GGAAAUAGUUCGUUAACCCAUUAUGGUUUGACUAUAGUUUUUUUAUUUCUUACCAACAAGUCGUGAUGGUGGGUCUCCUAAACGAUCUAUACAACGGCCCAACUACCAUAUAUUGGACUUUAGUUUGACCCAAUAAUAAACCCACAUAUUUUAAUAUAUAGGCCAGUUGUUCCUACGUUGGAACAUGAACUUCCUUUGUUUUGUUUUAUAAAAAUCAAUCUCUUUCUAUUCGUUUUUGAAAUUUAUAGGUAGGUAUAUCUUACUUGUAUUUUCGGUAGUAAUCACUUUUUAUACCUACAUAUAAAUUUC
RNAcentral lists this long non-coding RNA (309 nucleotides) under Brassica napus (rape). RNAcentral describes it as "long non-coding RNA (BNAP_LNC001109)". The record is from RNAcentral. Lineage: Eukaryota; Viridiplantae; Streptophyta; Magnoliopsida; Brassicales; Brassicaceae.